GUGAUGGCACAGCUGGCAUCACAAGUGUAAGGACCAAAGUUUAAUCUUCAGAAGCCAUGUAAAAAUGCUAAGGGUGGUUAUAUAUGCUUAUUAUCCCAGGCACUGGAUAUGAUGAGACAGAUCUCUGGGGCUCACUGGCCAUCCAGGCUUGCUGGACUGGCAAGUUCCAAGCCAAGUGAGAGACUGUCUUUAAAACAAAAACAGAAACCAUGAAAAGCAAGGUGAAGAAUAAUAUUUGAGGCUAUUCUCUUGUUUCCAUGUGUGUGCAUGCACACACACACACGUGUACACACACACACAAGGAUAGAGUAGUAGAGAUGUGUGUGGUGAUGCAGUGUAGUCCCUAGAGAAACUGAGCAGGUCUCAGCAUUCCCGUUAGUCCAGUUCAGUUGGAGUAACCAAGUACACUAGGCCUUGAGAGUUAGCGGCCAGGUUCUGUGGUCAGACUGACCUUAGAUGGACUCCACACAGACUCACAGGAGCACAAAGGUUGAAAGAGGAAGUCCUGUGGGUGGUGAGAUCUGUCCCUGACCUAUCCUGCUGUGUGGCGUGGCUCAUUUCACUCUCCCUAGCCUAGCUCACAGUCACAAACACACCUUACCACUAAUCAUUUUGGAUCAUCUUCUCCAAACGUUUCUCCCAUUGCGAUGAGAUUCUAAAUCCUUGUCAUCUCCAACCUGUCCUCGGUUUCCCAGCUGGCUCGGCAUCCCGAGGCUGACAUUUCUCCCUCCCACACAGCUGCUACCUCACUCCCUGCCUGGUGCUCAAACUCAUCCUUCUUCCUGUCUCAUGUGGGAGCCAGGACCCCUCCUUCUGGACUUUGUGACAGCAACUGCCCAUCCUUCUCUUACCUUGUCUUUGCCAGAACUCCAGAACUCCCUAUGCAACUAACUACCUUCUUGCAGCCUUCAUCUAAAAACAAAACCAAAAAACCAAAAAACCAAAAAACCAAAAAACCAAAAAACCAAAAAACCCAAUAAAUAAAAGCAUCUCUAGUUUCACUUAGUGUGUGCAACUGAAAAAGCAAAAGGCCAGUGAAAAGCAAAGAUGCUUUUGAGAGGAAAAUCUCUUAAUCAAAUACAGAUAUCAAGAACAUGAGCAAGGGGACUGGAGAAGCUGCUAUCAAAGUAAAUUGGUUUUUGUACAAAUGUUCCUUUUAUUUGGGUUUUCCCCAGUGUGCUAUUCUCUCUUUAAGGCUUGGCGAACAGAUGCGCUUUUGAAAAUGUUGAUUACCUUAUCCUUUCCUUGACCCCUUCCCACUCAUCCACAUUCCUGGGACCGUGAUUAUCCCAAGAGCAGAGCUGAGCCACCGAAGUGUUCCUUACCUUAAGUGGCCUUUGCUUCUCCAGGUGCGGAAUCUCAGCUGGGGCUGAGCAAGCAAGUCCACUGAAACUUAGGAAUGGGCCAGUUCUUAGGAAACCGACUCACCAGUCCUCUGCCUCUAGAGAUGACAGGCCUAGUAGGAAAUGUCCUCACUGUCACUGCCUUAUAUUUGCUCUUUUCCCUUCAAGACCAAUGCCACAUUGUCCCUCUGUAGUCUAUGAUCAGUGGUGGCCUUGGUCUUCUUCUCUGGGGUAUGAGAUGGAGCAAGGUGACACUCCACCCUCCAUGAUAUUUCAUGGUCUUUGACAGAGGCGGAACACCUAAAUCAAGUGCAGGGAUUGGACCCAAGGUCACUGGUAAGAGCCCCCAAGGUUCUUGCCCAUAUCUGACUCGCAUAGCCUUAUCCAGGAUCCUGUAUCCUCUGCUCAUGAAAAUGUUAAGACCUAUGAGCAUUCCAUCAAAGUGAUUAAUUGUCAGGAAUGUGAGCUUCUUCCAGCUUCCUCUUGUUUUUCAAUACAUAAUCCUAUUUUUAAAAAAGGCUGGGUUGACUUUCAUAAGCUCGCUGUGAUCCCUGUGACAGACACCACCUGUGUCUUGUCCAAUCAUCUUCACAUCUUCAUUCCAAAGAAACAGCCUGCUUUGUGGGGGCCUGGAGAAUAAUGGGCACCGAGGUAGGAAAGCUGGCAUGGCCUGCAGGUGCCAGUUGCUAUACUAAAAGCAUGCCAGGAACAGGCUGGACUCACAGAGGACUGGCGCCACAUGGCAAUGGUCCUUUCCGGUGAAUCUUGGCAGCUUGUUCCGGUGUCCUUUUCUAGAGACCGAUGUGAACAUGCUUCAGCACUCUGGCCAGGAAUGAAGAAGACUUUUAAUAUGAUUGGAAAUGAGUAGAUUUCCAGGGCGACAGUGAUAGAUCUAUCCUCAGUUCAGCUCACGGUCAAGGAGAUGGUCUCCGAUACACGACACUGAUAGACAAGAUGUUGUUCCAUGUAGUCUACAGUUCUUCUCAUGGCUGUUUCAGCUCCUGGAGGUUUUAGGUGUCCUAGUCAGCUUGAGACACGGGCAACAAUGAAAAGACCCUGCUUUUCACAUAUUUAUCACAUAUUGGACUAUCUUCUUAGGUGUUUUAGCAUUUUAGAUGGGUAAUUUUCGUUGGUUCUGAUUUCUACAAGUUGGGCAGUUUUGUGUAUAAAUCACUCAUCUUGUACAUUCCUCAAAUUAUCAUAUAAAAUAUGG
Molecule: long non-coding RNA, 2556 nt
Filed under: Mus musculus (house mouse)
Lineage: Eukaryota; Metazoa; Chordata; Mammalia; Rodentia; Muridae
Description: long non-coding RNA chr1:62809301-62811857
Source: RNAcentral